Gadus morhua (Atlantic cod) is the source of this 119-nucleotide ribosomal RNA. NCBI's taxonomy places the organism in Eukaryota, Metazoa, Chordata, Actinopteri, Gadiformes, Gadidae. The record is from Ensembl.
AAAUAUGGCCUUACCACCAUGGAAACACCCGAUUUCAUCUGAUCUCGGAAGCUAAGCAUGGUUGGGCCUGGUUAGUACCUGGAUGGGAGACCGCCUGGGAAUACCAGGUGCUGUAAUUG